GAGUUUGAUCUUGGCUCAGAUUGAACGCUGGCGGCAUGCCUUACACAUGCAAGUCGAACGGCAGCAUGAUCUAGCUUGCUAGAUUGAUGGCGAGUGGCGAACGGGUGAGUAAUACAUCGGAACGUGCCCUGUAGUGGGGGAUAACUAGUCGAAAGAUUAGCUAAUACCGCAUACGACCUGAGGGUGAAAGUGGGGGACCGCAAGGCCUCAUGCUAUAGGAGCGGCCGAUGUCUGAUUAGCUAGUUGGUGGGGUAAAGGCCCACCAAGGCGACGAUCAGUAGCUGGUCUGAGAGGACGAUCAGCCACACUGGGACUGAGACACGGCCCAGACUCCUACGGGAGGCAGCAGUGGGGAAUUUUGGACAAUGGGCGAAAGCCUGAUCCAGCAAUGCCGCGUGUGUGAGAAGGCCUCGGUGUAAG
This 420-nucleotide ribosomal RNA is filed under the name uncultured microorganism. RNAcentral describes it as "bacterial SSU rRNA". It matches the Rfam family "Bacterial small subunit ribosomal RNA", at positions 9 to 429 of the family's 1533-position model. The record is from RNAcentral.